Molecule: long non-coding RNA, 245 nt
Organism: Oreochromis aureus
Lineage: Eukaryota; Metazoa; Chordata; Actinopteri; Cichliformes; Cichlidae
Exons: 3
Source: RefSeq, a predicted model, not a curated record
GAGGGAGUCCCUCCCUCUAAAAGCACUCUGUGUGGGGAACAUGAGAGCCAGACCAAAGCUCAGAGGAACCAACGAGGAAGAAAACGCAAACAUGAGCACGAACCCAGCUGUGUGUCCUUACAGAGUGACGUGUCUAAAGAAGAGCCCAUUAACUUUAAAUCCCAGCCUGUGUCUGCUGCAGAGAGAGGUCAGAGGUCACAGUCUGCAGGAUCCAGCUGUCUGUCUGUGAGGAGUGACCGGUCCAA